GGUUAAGCGACUAAGCGUACACGGUGGAUGCCCUGGCAGUCAGAGGCGAUGAAGGACGUGCUAAUCUGCGAUAAGCGCCGGUAAGGUGAUAUGAACCGUUAUAACCGGCGAUUUCCGAAUGGGGAAACCCAGUGUGAUUCGUCACACUAUCAUUAACUGAAUCCAUAGGUUAAUGAGGCGAACCGGGGGAACUGAAACAUCUAAGUACCCCGAGGAAAAGAAAUCAACCGAGAUUCCCCCAGUAGCGGCGAGCGAACGGGGAGGAGCCCAGAGCCUGAAUCAGCAUGUGUGUUAGUGGAAGCGUCUGGAAAGGCGCGCGAUACAGGGUGACAGCCCCGUACACAAAAGCGCAUGUGCUGUGAGCUCGAUGAGUAGGGCGGGACACGUGGUAUCCUGUCUGAAUAUGGGGGGACCAUCCUCCAAGGCUAAAUACUCCUGACUGACCGAUAGUGAACCAGUACCGUGAGGGAAAGGCGAAAAGAACCCCGGCGAGGGGAGUGAAAAAGAACCUGAAACCGUGUACGUACAAGCAGUGGGAGCCCCACCACCAAAGCAUUCUCUGGUGUUGAAGGCCCUGCAAAGCAGCAUCGCGGUGGCGGAGCGUCGUUUGCGACGCCCAACACACAAAACAAGCGGUGAAUGCUUUGGGGUGGGGUGACUGCGUACCUUUUGUAUAAUGGGUCAGCGACUUAUAUUCUGUAGCAAGGUUAACCGAAUAGGGGAGCCGGAGGGAAACCGAGUCUUAAUUGGGCGUUAAGUUGCAGGGUAUAGACCCGAAACCCGGUGAUCUAGCCAUGGGCAGGUUGAAGGUUGGGUAACACUAACUGGAGGACCGAACCGACUAAUGUUGAAAAAUUAGCGGAUGACCUGUGGCUGGGGGUGAAAGGCCAAUCAAACCGGGAGAUAGCUGGUUCUCCCCGAAAGCUAUUUAGGUAGCGCCUCGUGAAUUCAUCUCCGGGGGUAGAGCACUGUUUCGGCUAGGGGGCCAUCCCGGCUUACCAACCCGAUGCAAACUGCGAAUACCGGAGAAUGUUAUCACGGGAGACACACGGCGGGUGCUAACGUCCGUCGUGAAGAGGGAAACAACCCAGACCGCCAGCUAAGGUCCCAAAGUCAUGGUUAAGUGGGAAACGAUGUGGGAAGGCCCAGACAGCCAGGAUGUUGGCUUAGAAGCAGCCAUCAUUUAAAGAAAGCGUAAUAGCUCACUGGUCGAGUCGGCCUGCGCGGAAGAUGUAACGGGGCUAAACCAUGCACCGAAGCUGCGGCAGCGACGCUGAUGCGUUGUUGGGUAGGGGAGCGUUCUGUAAGCCUGCGAAGGUGACCUGUGAGGGUUGCUGGAGGUAUCAGAAGUGCGAAUGCUGACAUAAGUAACGAUAAAGCGGGUGAAAAGCCCGCUCGCCGGAAGACCAAGGGUUCCUGUCCAACGUUAAUCGGGGCAGGGUGAGUCGACCCCUAAGGCGAGGCCGAAAGGCGUAGUCGAUGGGAAACGGGUUAAUAUUCCCGUACUUGGUGUUACUGCGAAGGGGGGACGGAGAAGGCUAUGUUGGCCGGGCGACGGUUGUCCCGGUUUAAGCGUGUAGGUGUGUGUUCCAGGUAAAUCCGGUUCACUUUAACACUGAGGCGUGAUGACGAGGCACUACGGUGCUGAAGCAACAAAUGCCCUGCUUCCAGGAAAAGCCUCUAAGCAUCAGGUAACAUCAAAUCGUACCCCAAACCGACACAGGUGGUCAGGUAGAGAAUACCAAGGCGCUUGAGAGAACUCGGGUGAAGGAACUAGGCAAAAUGGUGCCGUAACUUCGGGAGAAGGCACGCUGACACGUAGGUGAAGUGAUUUACUCACGGAGCUGAAGUCAGUCGAAGAUACCAGCUGGCUGCAACUGUUUAUUAAAAACACAGCACUGUGCAAACACGAAAGUGGACGUAUACGGUGUGACGCCUGCCCGGUGCCGGAAGGUUAAUUGAUGGGGUCAGCGCAAGCGAAGCUCCUGAUCGAAGCCCCGGUAAACGGCGGCCGUAACUAUAACGGUCCUAAGGUAGCGAAAUUCCUUGUCGGGUAAGUUCCGACCUGCACGAAUGGCGUAAUGAUGGCCAGGCUGUCUCCACCCGAGACUCAGUGAAAUUGAACUCGCUGUGAAGAUGCAGUGUACCCGCGGCAAGACGGAAAGACCCCGUGAACCUUUACUAUAGCUUGACACUGAACAUUGAGCCUUGAUGUGUAGGAUAGGUGGGAGGCUUUGAAGUGUGGACGCCAGUCUGCAUGGAGCCGACCUUGAAAUACCACCCUUUAAUGUUUGAUGUUCUAACGUGGACCCGUAAUCCGGGUUGCGGACAGUGUCUGGUGGGUAGUUUGACUGGGGCGGUCUCCUCCUAAAGAGUAACGGAGGAGCACGAAGGUUGGCUAAUCCUGGUCGGACAUCAGGAGGUUAGUGCAAUGGCAUAAGCCAGCUUGACUGCGAGCGUGACGGCGCGAGCAGGUGCGAAAGCAGGUCAUAGUGAUCCGGUGGUUCUGAAUGGAAGGGCCAUCGCUCAACGGAUAAAAGGUACUCCGGGGAUAACAGGCUGAUACCGCCCAAGAGUUCAUAUCGACGGCGGUGUUUGGCACCUCGAUGUCGGCUCAUCACAUCCUGGGGCUGAAGUAGGUCCCAAGGGUAUGGCUGUUCGCCAUUUAAAGUGGUACGCGAGCUGGGUUUAGAACGUCGUGAGACAGUUCGGUCCCUAUCUGCCGUGGGCGCUGGAGAACUGAGGGGGGCUGCUCCUAGUACGAGAGGACCGGAGUGGACGCAUCACUGGUGUUCGGGUUGUCAUGCCAAUGGCACUGCCCGGUAGCUAAAUGCGGAAGAGAUAAGUGCUGAAAGCAUCUAAGCACGAAACUUGCCCCGAGAUGAGUUCUCCCUGAGACUUUAGGUCUCCUGAAGGAACGUUGAAGACGACGACGUUGAUAGGCCGGGUGUGUAAGCGCAGCGAUGCGUUGAGCUAACCGGUACUAAUGAACCGUGAGGCUUAACCUU
This 3008-nucleotide ribosomal RNA is filed under the name Salmonella enterica. Its description in RNAcentral is "23S ribosomal RNA". It matches the Rfam family "Bacterial large subunit ribosomal RNA". Lineage: Bacteria; Pseudomonadati; Pseudomonadota; Gammaproteobacteria; Enterobacterales; Enterobacteriaceae. The record is from RNAcentral.